AGAGUUUGAUCAUGGCUCAGAACGAACGCUGGCGGCAGGCCUAACACAUGCAAGUCGAACGCCCUCGCAAGAGGGAGUGGCAGACGGGUGAGUAACGCGUGGGAACAUGCCUUUCGGUUCGGAACAACUCGGGGAAACUUGAGCUAAUACCGGAUACGCCCUUUUUGGGGAAAGAUUUCAUCGCCGAAAGAUUGGCCCGCGUCUGAUUAGCUAGUUGGCGGGGUAACGGCCCACCAAGGCGACGAUCAGUAGCUGGUCUGAGAGGAUGAUCAGCCACAUUGGGACUGAGACACGGCCCAAACUCCUACGGGAGGCAGCAGUGGGGAAUAUUGGACAAUGGGCGAAAGCUUGAUCCAGCCAUGCCGCGUGAGUGAUGAAGGCCUUAGGGUUGUAAAGCUCUUUUGCCUGGGAAGAUAAUGACGGUACCAGGAGAAUAAGCCCCGGCAAACUUCGUGCCAGCAGCCGCGGUAAUACGAAGGGGGGCUAGCGUUGUUCGGGAUUUACUGGGCGUAAAGCGCACGUAGGCGGAUCCUUAAGUCAGGGGUGAAAUCCCGGGGCUCAACCUCGGAACUGCCUUUGAUACUGGGGAUCUCGAGUCCGGGAGAGGUGAGCGGAACUGCGAGUGUAGAGGUGAAAUUCGUAGAUAUUCGCAAGAACACCAGUGGCGAAGGCGGCUCACUGGCCCGGUACUGACGCUGAGGUGCGAAAGCGUGGGGAGCAAACAGGAUUAGAUACCCUAGUAGUCC
RNAcentral lists this ribosomal RNA (746 nucleotides) under uncultured bacterium. RNAcentral describes it as "bacterial SSU rRNA". It matches the Rfam family "Bacterial small subunit ribosomal RNA", at positions 8 to 796 of the family's 1533-position model. The record is from RNAcentral.